AGCAGUAGCCGCGGUAAUACGAAGGGGGCUAGCGUUGUUCGGAAUUACUGGGCGUAAAGCGCACGUAGGCGGACAUUUAAGUCAGGGGUGAAAUCCCGGGGCUCAACCCCGGAACUGCCUUUGAUACUGGGUGUCUAGAGUAUGGUAGAGGUGAGUGGAAUUCCGAGUGUAGAGGUGAAAUUCGUAGAUAUUCGGAGGAACACCAGUGGCGAAGGCGGCUCACUGGUCCAUUACUGACGCUGAGGUGCGAAAGCGUGGGGAGCAAACAGGAUUAGAUACCCCGGUAGUCCCUGUCUCUUAUAC
This 303-nucleotide ribosomal RNA is filed under the name uncultured bacterium. RNAcentral describes it as "partial 16S ribosomal RNA". It matches the Rfam family "Bacterial small subunit ribosomal RNA", at positions 507 to 807 of the family's 1533-position model. The record is from RNAcentral.